UGUACAUGCGGGAUAACCGUAUAAAGGCUACUUACGUCCAUUGUAAUGAGAACUGUAGUGCCCCUCUUCAGUUUCAACUGUUUCAGUUUCUGGAUGAGACUAGGUGUAUCUUUUAUACAGGUACUGAGCUCAGAUAUAGGAGGCUGAAAUAGAAAGUCGAGCCAUUUGGCAAUCGGUUCCAGCAGACCUUCCAUCACUGAAACGAU
Non-coding RNA from Pelobates cultripes (western spadefoot toad), 206 nucleotides. Lineage: Eukaryota; Metazoa; Chordata; Amphibia; Anura; Pelobatidae. The record is from the annotation of a GenBank genome assembly.